CUUUCCCUCUUUCUUCCUGCCUUACACAUGCAAGUCGAACGGCAUCGCGGGAAAGCUUGCUUUCCUGGCGGCGAGUGGCGAACGGGUGAGUAACACAUCGGAACGUACCGGCUAGUGGGGGAUAACCCGUCGAAAGACGGGCUAAUAACGCAUACGCUCUUCGGAGGAAAGCAGGGGACCUUUGGGCCUUGCGCUAGCCGAGCGGCCGAUGUCCGAUUAGCUAGUUGGUGGGGUAAAGGCCUACCAAGGCGACGAUCGGUAGCGGGUCUGAGAGGACGAUCCGCCACACUGGGACUGAGACACGGCCCAGACUCCUACGGGAGGCAGCAGUGGGGAAUCUUGGACAAUGGGGGCAACCCUGAUCCAGCAAUGCCGCGUGGGUGAAGAAGGCCUUCGGGUUGUAAAGCCCUUUCGGCAGGGAAGAAAUCGGCGGGGCGAAUAACCCUGCUGGAUGACGGUACCUGCAGAAGAAGCACCGGCUAACUACGUG
This 490-nucleotide ribosomal RNA is filed under the name uncultured bacterium. RNAcentral describes it as "partial 16S ribosomal RNA". It matches the Rfam family "Bacterial small subunit ribosomal RNA", at positions 36 to 507 of the family's 1533-position model. The record is from RNAcentral.